UAGGGAAUCUUCGGCAAUGGGGGCAACCCUGACCGAGCAACGCCGCGUGAGUGAAGAAGGUUUUCGGAUCGUAAAGCUCUGUUGUAAGUAGAAGAACGUGUGUGAGAGUGGAAAGUUCACACAGUGACGGUAACUUACCAGAAAGGGACGGCUAACUACGUGCCAG
This 166-nucleotide ribosomal RNA is filed under the name uncultured bacterium. RNAcentral's name for it is "partial 16S rRNA". It matches the Rfam family "Bacterial small subunit ribosomal RNA", at positions 355 to 511 of the family's 1533-position model. The record is from RNAcentral.